GUGCUUGACAGCACAUGUACUAAAAUUGGAACAAUAUGGAGAUUAGCAGGGGCCCUGCACAAGGAUGAGACACACAGAUUUGUGAAGCAUUUCAUAUUAAA
This 101-nucleotide small nuclear RNA is filed under the name Erinaceus europaeus (western European hedgehog). Lineage: Eukaryota; Metazoa; Chordata; Mammalia; Eulipotyphla; Erinaceidae. The record is from RNAcentral.